This 301-nucleotide ribosomal RNA is filed under the name uncultured bacterium. RNAcentral describes it as "partial 16S ribosomal RNA". It matches the Rfam family "Bacterial small subunit ribosomal RNA", at positions 509 to 807 of the family's 1533-position model. The record is from RNAcentral.
CAGUCGCCGCGGUAAUACGGAGGGUGCGAGCGUUAACCGGAAUAACUGGGCGUAAAGGGCACGCAGGCGGUGACUUAAGUGAGGUGUGAAAGCCCCGGGCUUAACCUGGGAAUUGCAUUUCAUACUGGGUCGCUAGAGUACUUUAGGGAGGGGUAGAAUUCCACGUGUAGCGGUGAAAUGCGUAGAGAUGUGGAGGAAUACCGAAGGCGAAGGCAGCCCCUUGGGAAUGUACUGACGCUCAUGUGCGAAAGCGUGGGGAGCAAACAGGAUUAGAUACCCCCGUAGUCCCUGUCUCUUAUAC